AAUAGUUUUUUCUAUAAAUGAAAAUGUAAGCAUUCCCCCUCAAGAGUAAUUUGGCAACAUUGGAACUGAAAUCAUUAGACCGUUUAUGAAACCAGUAGUGAAGUAUGUUGUUUAAUUUGAUGAUCCGCAAAAAACCUUACCACAAUUUGAAUAUUUAUAUCUAUCUUCUUUUUUCGUAAGAAAAUAAAAAGGUAAUAUAUUUACGGUUGCACGGCUGUCUUCAGUUAAUGUCGCGAGACUUUGGUUAGUUCCAUUAAAUUAACGUAAACCCUUACUUUAUUUUUAUAUAAAGUAGUUCCCCGCUAUAUUGGAUAU
This 315-nucleotide ribosomal RNA is filed under the name Lepraria ulrikii. Its description in RNAcentral is "Lepraria sp. AB-2021a partial small subunit ribosomal RNA". It matches the Rfam family "Bacterial small subunit ribosomal RNA", at positions 834 to 1164 of the family's 1533-position model. The record is from RNAcentral. Lineage: Eukaryota; Fungi; Ascomycota; Lecanoromycetes; Lecanorales; Stereocaulaceae.